RNAcentral lists this ribosomal RNA (433 nucleotides) under uncultured bacterium. RNAcentral describes it as "partial 16S ribosomal RNA". It matches the Rfam family "Bacterial small subunit ribosomal RNA", at positions 29 to 507 of the family's 1533-position model. The record is from RNAcentral.
AACGAACGCUGGCGGCAGGCCUAACACAUGCAAGUCGAGCGAGGACUUCGGUUCUAGCGGCGGACGGGUGAGUAACGCGUGGGAAUGUGCCCUUCUCUACGGAAUAGCCCUGGGAAACUGGGAGUAAUACCGUAUACGCCCUAUUGGGGAAAGAUUUAUCGGAGAAGGAUCAGCCCGCGUUGGAUUAGGUAGUUGGUGGGGUAAUGGCCUACCAAGCCGACGAUCCAUAGCUGGUUUGAGAGGAUGAUCAGCGACACUGGGACUGAGACACGGCCCAGACUCCUACGGGAGGCAGCAGUGGGGAAUCUUAGACAAUGGGGGCAACCCUGAUCUAGCCAUGCCGCGUGAGUGAUGAAGGCCGUAGGGUUGUAAAGCUCUUUCAGCUGGGAAGAUAAUGACGGUACCAGCAGAAGAAGCCCCGGCUAACUCCGUG